UCUUCCCUCUUUCUUCGUGCCUAAUACAUGCAAGUCGAGCGAACAGAUAAGGAGCUUGCUCCUUUGACGUUAGCGGCGGACGGGUGAGUAACACGUGAGUAACCUACCUAUAAGACUGGGAUAAAUUCGGGAAACCGGAGCUAAUACCGGAUAAUAUUUCGAACCGCAUGGUUCGAUAGUGAAAGAUGGUUUUGCUAUCACUUAUAGAUGGACCCGCGCCGUAUUAGCUAGUUGGUAAGGUAACGGCUUACCAAGGCGACGAUACGUAGCCGACCUGAGAGGGUGAUCGGCCACACUGGAACUGAGACACGGUCCAGACUCCUACGGGAGGCAGCAGUAGGGAAUCUUCCGCAAUGGGCGAAAGCCUGACGGAGCAACGCCGCGUGAGUGAUGAAGGUCUUCGGAUCGUAAAACUCUGUUAUUAGGGAAGAACAUACGUGUAAGUAACUGUGCACGUCUUGACGGUACCUAAUCAGAAAGCCACGGCUAACUACGUG
This 497-nucleotide ribosomal RNA is filed under the name uncultured bacterium. RNAcentral describes it as "partial 16S ribosomal RNA". It matches the Rfam family "Bacterial small subunit ribosomal RNA", at positions 36 to 507 of the family's 1533-position model. The record is from RNAcentral.